UACAGAGGUGUCAAACGUUGUCCGGAAUUACUGGGCGUAAAGGGCGCGUAGGCGGCCUUAUAAGUCAUUUGUGAAAGCUCUGGGCUCAACCCAGGAAUUGCAAGUGAUACUGUAAGGCUUGAGUUCGGUAGAGGAGGGCGGAAUUCCAGGUGUAGCGGUGAAAUGCGCAGAUAUCAGGAGGAACACCAAUUGCGAAGGCAGCUCGCUGGGACGUUACUGACGCUGAGACGCGAAAGCGUGGGGAGCAAACAGG
Molecule: ribosomal RNA, 253 nt
Filed under: uncultured bacterium
Lineage: Bacteria
Description: partial 16S ribosomal RNA
Rfam family: Bacterial small subunit ribosomal RNA
Source: RNAcentral